CGGGUCACAACACGAUUUCGUGACAUCGCGCAAUAAAUGUUAUAUUCAGGAUUCAGAACGGCCUUUUUAUUGCGCUGAGGUGGCUGGAAGCUGGACGCCUCAGGUUCCGUGGUCUUGAGUAACGUUGGAGUUUUCGAUCGAAGAGAGACGGCGACGCCGUCUCGGGGUCCCUGUUGAAUGAAGGUGGUCGCUGACGCCGAGCUGCGGCGGUUUCUAGGGGUGCGUAGCGACAUUCGGGGCUGCAAUCGGGCCUGUAACGUGCGAGCGCAGCUUCGCGUA
This 279-nucleotide long non-coding RNA is filed under the name Dermacentor andersoni. Its description in RNAcentral is "uncharacterized LOC126542444". The record is from RNAcentral. Lineage: Eukaryota; Metazoa; Arthropoda; Arachnida; Ixodida; Ixodidae.